This 326-nucleotide ribosomal RNA is filed under the name uncultured eukaryote. Its description in RNAcentral is "partial 18S ribosomal RNA". It matches the Rfam family "Eukaryotic small subunit ribosomal RNA", at positions 1470 to 1796 of the family's 1831-position model. The record is from RNAcentral.
CCCUUAGAUGUUCUGGGCCGCACGCGCGCUACACUGAUGCAUUCAAUAAGCCUAGCCUUGACCGAGAGGUCCGGGUAAUCUUUGAAACUGCAUCGUGAUGGGGCUAGAUUAUUGCAAUUAUUAAUCUUCAACGAGGAAUGCCUAGUAAGCGUGAUUCAUCAAAUCGCGUUGAUUACGUCCCUGCCCUUUGUACACACCGCCCGUCGCUCCUACCGAUUGAAUGUGUUGGUGAGGAGCUCGGAUUGGCAGCAGUUGGUGGUUCGCCACCGGCUAUUGCUGAGAAGUCCUCCAAACCGCCCCAUUUAGAGGAAGGAGAAGUCGUAACA